RNAcentral lists this long non-coding RNA (1500 nucleotides) under Citrus x clementina. Its description in RNAcentral is "Citrus clementina (C. clementina) long non-coding RNA (CCLE_LNC004895)". Lineage: Eukaryota; Viridiplantae; Streptophyta; Magnoliopsida; Sapindales; Rutaceae. The record is from RNAcentral.
CACGGAGGCAGCCCGCUAAGUAUGGGGCCAUUCCGAGUCCGGCGGACGAACUUCGCCCACGCCCCUCGCCAAGGCUAUAGCCCACCCGUUUUUUGGCCAUUUUUCCGCUAGCGAGUGUUGGCGCCCCGAUCUUCGGGCGCGGCUGUGCCCGUGGCCUAUUUUUGGCACACGGAGGCCACCCGCAAAGUCUGGGGCCAUUCCGAGUCCGGUGGACGAACUUCGCCCACGCCCCCCACCAAGGCUAUAGCCCACCCGUUUUUUGGCCAUUUUUCCGCUGGGGGGUGUUGUUACCCCGACCUUCGGGCGCUCAUUUUUGGGCGCGGCUGUGACCGUGGUCUAUUUUGGGCACACGGAGGCCUCCAGCAAAGUCUGCGGCCAUUCUGAGUCCGGCGGACGAACUUCGCCCACGCCCCCCACCAAGGCUAUAGCCCACCCGUUUUUUGGCCAUUUUUCCGCUGGGGGGUGUUGUUACCCCGACCUUCGGGCGCUCAUUUUUGGGCGCGGCUGUGCCCGUGGCCUAUUUUUGGCACACGGAGGCCGCCCGCAAAGUCUGGGGCCAUUCCGAGUCCGGCGGACGAACUUCGCCCACGCCCCCCGCCAAGGCUCUAGCCCACCCGUUUUUUGGCCAUUUUUCCGCUGGGGGGUGUUGUUACCCCGACCUUCGGGCGCUCAUUUUUGGGCGCGGCUGUGCCCGUGGCCUAUUUUUGGUACACGGAGGGCACCCGCAAAGUAUGGGGGCCUUUCGGAUUCCGGUGGAGGAACUUCGCCCACGCCCCCCACCAAGGCUAUAGCCCACCCGUUUUUUGGCCAUUUUUCCGCUGGGGGGUGUUGUUACCCCGACCUUCGGGCGCUCAUUUUUGGGCGCGGCUGUGACCGUGGUCUAUUUUGGGCACACGGAGGCCGCCAGCAAAGUCUGGGGCCAUUCUGAGUCCGGCGGACGAACUUCGCCCACGCCCCCCACCAAGGCUAUAUCCCACCCGUUUUUUGGCCAUUUUUCCGCUGGGGGGUGUUGUUACCCCGACCUUCGGGCGCUCAUUUUUGGGCGCGGCUGUGCCCGUGGCCUAUUUUUGGCACACGGAGGCCGCCCGCAAAGUCUGGGGCCAUUCCGAGUCCGGCGGACGAACUUCGCCCACGCCCCCCGCCAAGGCUCUAGCCCACCCGUUUUUUGGCCAUUUUUCCGCUGGGGGGUGUUGUUACCCCGACCUUCGGGCGCUCAUUUUUGGGCGCGGCUGUGCCCGUGGCCUAUUUUUGGCACACGGAGGCCGCCCGCAAAGUAUUGGGCCCUUCCGAGUCCGGCGGACGAACUUCGCCCACGCCCCCCACCAAGGCUAUAGCCCACCCGUUUUUUAGCCAUUUUUCCGCUGGGGGGUGUUGUUACCCCGACCUUCGGGCGCUCAUUUUUGGGCGCGGCUGUGCCCGUGGUCUAUUUUUGGCUCACGGAGGCAGCCCGCUAAGUAUGGGGCCAUUCCGAGUCCGGCGGACGAACUGGCCCACGCCCCC